RNAcentral lists this small RNA (76 nucleotides) under Kaustia mangrovi. Its description in RNAcentral is "Makes More Granules Regulator RNA (mmgR)". The stretch from base 6 to 71 matches the Rfam family "Makes More Granules Regulator RNA (mmgR)", at positions 8 to 69 of the family's 77-position model. From Rfam's summary of the family: SuhB later renamed mmgR (makes more granules regulator) was a putative non-coding RNA found multiple times in the Agrobacterium tumefaciens genome and related alpha-proteobacteria. Lineage: Bacteria; Pseudomonadati; Pseudomonadota; Alphaproteobacteria; Hyphomicrobiales; Parvibaculaceae. The record is from RNAcentral.
CCGCAGCCCUUCCUGGGCGUUUCCUCCCUAGACUUGGGCCGUUGCACGUCCGUGCCAACGGCCCUUUUUUUGUCCG